UACGGAGGGUGCGAGCGUUAAUCGGAAUUACUGGGCGUAAAGCGCGCGUAGGUGGUCUCUUAAGUGGGAUGUGAAAGCCCAGGGCUCAACCCUGGAACUGCAUUCCAAACUGAAAGACUAGAGUACGAUGGAGGGAGGUAGAAUUCAGAGUGUAGCGGUGAAAUGCGUAGAUAUUCUGAGGAAUACCAGUGGCGAAGGCGGCCUCCUGGAUUGAUACUGACGCUGAGGUGCGAAAGCGUGGGUAGCAAACAGG
This 253-nucleotide unclassified non-coding RNA is filed under the name uncultured Gammaproteobacteria bacterium. Its description in RNAcentral is "contains 16S-23S intergenic spacer region". It matches the Rfam family "Bacterial small subunit ribosomal RNA", at positions 524 to 776 of the family's 1533-position model. The record is from RNAcentral. Lineage: Bacteria; Pseudomonadati; Pseudomonadota; Gammaproteobacteria.